AAUUUGAAUCUGGCGUCUUUGGCGUCCGAGUUGUAAUUUGCAGAGGGCGCUUUGGCAUUGGCAGCGGUCCAAGUUCCUUGGAACAGGACGUCACAGAGGGUGAGAAUCCCGUACGUGGUCGCUAGCCUUUACCGUGUAAAGCCCCUUCGACGAGUCGAGUUGUUUGGGAAUGCAGCUCUAAAUGGGAGGUAAAUUUCUUCUAAAGCUAAAUACUGGCCAGAGACCGAUAGCGCACAAGUAGAGUGAUCGAAAGAUGAAAAGCACUUUGGAAAGAGAGUUAAAAAGCACGUGAAAUUGUUGAAAGGGAAGCGCUUGCAGCCAGACUUGCCUGUAGUUGCUCAUCCGGGUUUUUACCCGGUGCACUCUUCUACGGGCAGGCCAGCAUCAGUUUGGGCGGUUGGAUAAAGGUCUCUGUCAUGUACCUCCUCUCGGGGAGAUCUUAUAGGGGAGACGACAUGCAACCAGCCUGGACUGAGGUCCGCGCAUCUGCUAGGAUGCUGGCGUAAUGGCUGUAAGCGGCCCGUCU
Molecule: ribosomal RNA, 526 nt
Filed under: Epicoccum sp. PQS04
Lineage: Eukaryota; Fungi; Ascomycota; Dothideomycetes; Pleosporales; Didymellaceae
Description: eukaryotic LSU rRNA
Rfam family: Eukaryotic large subunit ribosomal RNA
Source: RNAcentral